RNAcentral lists this ribosomal RNA (253 nucleotides) under uncultured bacterium. RNAcentral's name for it is "partial 16S ribosomal RNA". It matches the Rfam family "Bacterial small subunit ribosomal RNA", at positions 524 to 776 of the family's 1533-position model. The record is from RNAcentral.
UACAGGGGGUGCAAACGUUGCUCGGAAUCAUUGGGCGUAAAGCGCACGUAGGCGGUCUGUUAUGUCGGAUGUGAAAGCCCUUGGCUUAACUGAGGAAGUGCAUCCGAAACUGGCAGGCUAGAGUACUAAAGAGGGUCGCGGAAUUCCCGGUGUAGAGGUGAAAUUCGUAGAUAUCGGGAGGAACACCAGUGGCGAAGGCGGCUUUCUGGCCUGUUCUUGACGCUGAGGCGCGAAAGCUAGGGGAGCAAACGGG